This 260-nucleotide long non-coding RNA is filed under the name Gossypium barbadense (sea-island cotton). Its description in RNAcentral is "long non-coding RNA (GBAR_LNC022351)". The record is from RNAcentral. Lineage: Eukaryota; Viridiplantae; Streptophyta; Magnoliopsida; Malvales; Malvaceae.
GUACAUCAGUUGGCGACGUAAAUUGUACAUAUAACUCAAUAUAAGUUGCUCCAAUAGCAAGAUGAUUCUGCACCAUUGCCUCCAAGCUACGAGCACCUUUUAUGUCGAACGAGUCAUAUGUCACCGGAUCAACACAAGAACAAAAUUGAUACGUGAUUGACAGAACUUUCAUUGGCGUCGUUCCGAAGAUUUUACGCCUAAUUCUUUUACGAAGUUCUGUCAAAUCUAUGUUCUGGUUAAAUGACAGUCGCACCAUAUUC